UUGCAUGGAGCCCCUUAUGCAGGAUAAGACAGGCCCCGAAGCCACAUCGUCAGCUGUGGGUCAGAGGAAGAUCCUGGGGCUUCUCCACCAUGGCCUGGACCCCUCUCCUGCUCCCCCUCCUCACUCUCUGCACAGGUUUGGUGGCCUCUUCUGCAGUGACUCAGCCUCCCGCAGUGUCUGUGAGCCCAGGACAGACAGCCAGGAUCACCUGCCAGGGAGAGUCCCUGAGAAGCUAUUAUCCUACCUGGGUGCAGCAGAAGCCAGGCCAGGCCCCUGUAACAGUCGUCUAUGGGAACAACAAUCGGCCCUCAGGGAUCCCCGACCGAUUCUCUAUCUCAUACUCAGGGGACACGAACACCCUGACCAUCAGCGGGGCCCGGGCUGAGGAUGAGGCUGACUACUUCUGUGCAGUGACGCAGAGUAGUGGUAGUAAUACUCACAGUGACACAGGCAGACAGGGAACCCUCACCCAGUUCUCCGAGGGCAGGCAGCAGUGCAUUGAGGGCUCGCAGGACCAGAAAGUCCUGGGGAUUUCAAGGCCAGGGUGUGAAUAG
This is a non-coding RNA of Phyllostomus hastatus (greater spear-nosed bat), 554 nucleotides long. The record is from the annotation of a RefSeq genome assembly. NCBI's taxonomy places the organism in Eukaryota, Metazoa, Chordata, Mammalia, Chiroptera, Phyllostomidae.